AUACGGAGGAUGCAAGCGUUAUCCGGAUUUAUUGGGUUUAAAGGGUGCGUAGGCGGUUUGCUAAGCGGGGGGUGAAAUGCCGGCGCUCAACGUCGGAAGUGCCUCCCGAACUGGUGGACUUGAAUGACUCUGCCGUGGGAGGAAUGUGUAGUGUAGCGGUGAAAUGCUUAGAGAUUACACAGAACACCGAUUACGAAGGCAUCUCACGAAGGGUUGAUUGACGCUGAGGCACGAAAGCGUGGGGAUCAAACAGGAUUAGAUACCCUGGUAGUCCACGCAGUAAACGAUGAUGGCUAACCGCUGGGCUUAUCAGUUCAGUGGCCAAGCGAAAGCGAUAAGCCAUCCACCUGGGGAGUACGACCGCAAGGUUGAAACUCAAAUGAAUUGGCGGGG
This 393-nucleotide ribosomal RNA is filed under the name uncultured bacterium. Its description in RNAcentral is "partial 16S ribosomal RNA". It matches the Rfam family "Bacterial small subunit ribosomal RNA", at positions 523 to 918 of the family's 1533-position model. The record is from RNAcentral.